CAAUUCAUAGUACGCAUAUAGAGCACAAAUAUUUAUGUCUCUGGUGGUACACAAAGUAGAGUCACACCAUUGUGUAUUCAUACAUGUACUUAGGGUAAUGAUGUCCAUCUCAUUCCACCAUCUUCCUUAACCCCAUACCUCCUCCUUUCCCCACCCUUCCUUUUGUCCUAUCUAAAAUUCCUCCAUUCAGUCCCAUGCUCUUCCAACAUCCCCAUUAUGGAUCAGCAACCUCAAAUCAGGGAAAAUAAUCAGCCUUUGUUUUUUUGGAAUUGGCUUACUUCAUUAGCAUAAUAUUCUCUAGCUCCAUCCAUUUACCCGAAAAUGCCAUGAUUUUCUUCUCUUUUAAUGCUUAGUAGUAUUCCAUUGUGUAUAUAUUCUACAUUUUCUUUAUCCAUUCAUCUACUGAAGGGUUUCUAGGUUGGUUCCAUAAUUUAGCUAUUGUGAAUUGUGUUGCUAUAAACAUUGAUGUGACUGUAUCACUGUAGUAUGCUAUUUUUAAGUCCUUUUGGUAUAAACCGAGGAGUGGGAUAGCUGGGUCAAAUGGUGGUUCCAUUUCCAGUUUCCCAAGGAAUCUCCAUAUUGCUUUUCAGAUUGGCUGCACCAAUUUGCAGUCCCACCAGCAGUGUAUGAGUGUAGCUUUCCCCCCCACUCCUCACUACCACUUAUCAUUGUUUGUAUUCUUAAUAGCUGUCAUUCUGAUUGGAGUGAGAUGAUAUCUUAGAGUAGUUUUGAUUUGCAUUUCUCUAAUUGCUAGAGAUGUUGAACAUUUUUUCAUUUAUUUGUUGAUUGAUUAUAUAUCAUCUUCUAAGAAGUGUCUGUUUAGUUUUUUGGCCCAUUUAUUGAUUUUGUUGUUGUUGUUGUUGUUGUUAUUAUUAUUUUGGUGUUAAGAUUUUUUAGUUCUUUAUAAGUCCUAGGGAUUCGUGCACUAUCUGAUGUGUGUAUGGUAAAAAUUUGCUCCCAUUCUGUAGACUCUCUGUUCACCUCUUUGAUUGUUUCUUUUGCAGAGAAGAAGCUUUUCAGUUUAAAUCCAUCCCAUUUAUUAAUUCUUGAUUUUAUUUCUUGUGCUAUAGGA
Molecule: long non-coding RNA, 1072 nt
Filed under: Marmota monax (woodchuck)
Lineage: Eukaryota; Metazoa; Chordata; Mammalia; Rodentia; Sciuridae
Source: RNAcentral